This 253-nucleotide ribosomal RNA is filed under the name uncultured bacterium. RNAcentral's name for it is "partial 16S ribosomal RNA". It matches the Rfam family "Bacterial small subunit ribosomal RNA", at positions 524 to 776 of the family's 1533-position model. The record is from RNAcentral.
UACGUAGGGUGCGAGCGUUAAUCGGAAUUACUGGGCGUAAAGGGAGCGCAGGCGGAUCUGUAAGUUAGAUGUGAAAUACCCGGGCUUAACCUGGGAAUGGCAUUUAAGACUGCAAGUCUAGAGUUUGUCAGAGGGGGGUAGAAUUCCAAGUGUAGCAGUGAAAUGCGUAGAGAUUUGGAGGAAUACCGGUGGCGAAGGCGGCCCCCUGGGAUAGAACUGACGCUCAGGCUCGAAAGCGUGGGUAGCAAACAGG